Molecule: ribosomal RNA, 345 nt
Filed under: Apocalathium aciculiferum
Lineage: Eukaryota; Dinophyceae; Thoracosphaerales; Thoracosphaeraceae
Description: partial Bacterial large subunit ribosomal RNA
Rfam family: Bacterial large subunit ribosomal RNA
Source: RNAcentral
GGGGCGGUUGCCUCCCAAAAUGUAACGGAGGCGCCCAAAGGUUCCCUCAGCCUGGUUGGCAAUCAGGUGGUGAGUGUAAGUGCACAAGGGAGCUUGACUGUGAGACAGACAUGUCGAGCAGGGACGAAAGUCGGGACUAGUGAUCCGGCACCUACUUGUGGAUGUGGUGUCGCUCAACGGAUAAAAGGUACCCCGGGGAUAACAGGCUGAUCUUCCCCAAGAGUCCAUAUCGACGGGAUGGUUUGGCACCUCGAUGUCGGCUCGUCGCAUCCUGGGGCUGGAGUAGGUCCCAAGGGUUGGGCUGUUCGCCCAUUAAAGCGGCACGCGAGCUGGGUUCAGAACGUC